This 253-nucleotide ribosomal RNA is filed under the name uncultured bacterium. Its description in RNAcentral is "partial 16S ribosomal RNA". It matches the Rfam family "Bacterial small subunit ribosomal RNA", at positions 524 to 776 of the family's 1533-position model. The record is from RNAcentral.
UACGUAGGGGGCAAGCGUUGUCCGGAAUUACUGGGUGUAAAGGGCGUGUAGGCGGGGCAUUAAGUCAGAUGUGAAAUCCCAUGGCUCAACUGUGGGCGUGCAUCUGAAACUGAUGUUCUUGAGUGCAGGAGAGGAAAGCGGAAUUCCUAGUGUAGCAGUGAAAUGCGUAGAUAUUAGGAGGAACACCGGUGGCGAAGGCGGCUUUCUGGACUGUAACUGACGCUGAGGCGCGAAAGCGUGGGGAGCAAACAGG